CCAACAUUCAGCCUCCUCUGCCCAUCAGCCUUGCUGACACAGGGAGUGGAGAUUUGUGUAGAGAAAUGACUCAUUCAAAUAUGACUUAAUCUAAACCGUAAGUGUAUGAUUUAUUAAUGUGCCACCAGGCCUUACACCAAGAGAGCCAUUCCAGAGAAAAGUCCUUUUUCUCCUGAGAACAGUGCCAGCAGCUGGCUUCGUGACAUUCUGGAAGCCCCGUGCAAUGCUGUCAGGAGCAUAGGGAUUUUACUUUAUCUCCCUUGCUUAUGCUCCACAUAACUGAAAUAUCUCACUGGAAGCUGCAGCAGUGCUGGCCCCUUGCACAGCCAUAUGUGACCACUGCAGAACAAUCAGUUGGAGAGACAGUUUGGACUACAUGGAGGGUGGAGAUAAGGACAAAGUGAAGAAUACACAGGAACCAGUGCCUCCUCCUGGAACUAUGCAACUCCAAGCUGCUUCCAUCAGCUGCUAGGUCCAGUAGGGAGGGACCUACUGAGAGAGCUAAUUAAAAAUGUGGUGUCCUGGACUCACGAAGCCAGAAUUGCUGAGGAGAUAGCCCGAGAAUCUGAAUUUUUAGCAGACAUUUUUUUAGGGUGUGGGGAAGAGCGAGAAAAAGAUUUCCGCUCUGGAAGGUAAACAAAUACUCUCUGGAGAGAGAAGAGGAAUGUCCCUAGCAGAUGUCUCCAGAGAAGACAAGACUUUAAAUUCCGCCAGGGAAAUAUACAAUGUCUAACUUCUAAGGCACAUUUGCCAUUCAAUCAUGCUUUAACCCACGUUGCCAGAAAUUUUUGCUCACUAGGUUUUGACUGUACAGGAAUGUGAAAAUAUUCAUGAAGAGUUGUUUUCCAAUGCUAAAGAAUUGAUGUGUUUUAACAGUUGAAUUAAUUGUAUUGAUUAUGAUCACACCUACUUUUUAUAUAUCUUCAUUUCUAACGUUUCUGUACAAUCCUGCCUUUCCACCUGAUAUAGUUAGGCCUUGUGUCAUCAACCAAAUCUCAUCUUGAAUUGUAAUCGCCAUAAUCCCCACGUAUUUAGGGAGAGACCUGGAGGGAGGUGUUUGGAUCAUGGGGGCGGUUUCCCGCAUGCUGUUCUCAUGACCAUGAGAGUAAGUUCUCAAGAGAUCUGAUGGUUUUAUAAGCGUCUGUCAUUUCCACUGCUUGCACUUCUGUGUCCUGCCACCUUGUGAAGAAGGACGUGGUUGCUUCCCCUUCCACCAUGAUUGUGUUUCCUGAGGCCUCCCCAGCCUUGCAGAGCUGUGAGUCAAUUAAACCUCUUUCCUUUAUAAAUUACUCAGUCUCUGUAUUCCUCUGCAGCAGUGUGAGAACAGACUAAUACAUCACCACUUUAUUUACUUUACUCUCUCCCCAUACCGAGGUUUUCUACAUUUUCUUUCUAGGUCUCUACAGUUUCUGCAAAGAUCCUUUAUGGAACUCUUAGGGAAGCUGGGAUGUAUAAUAAAUAAAGGGCUCUUUUCUUUGAGUCCCACACCCAUUUUCUGUGUAUAAAAAUCUUCAACUCCACUUUUGUCUGUUCUAUUUAAAUGUGUGCACAUUUCCUUCUAAUGUUGUAUAUGAAAAAGAGACACCUCUUAGCAGUCUUUCAUAGAGCAAAAUUUUUUACUUUGAUAAAAUCUAAUUUAUCAAUAUUUUUAAAUUUUAUGGAUCAAUCAUGCUUUUGAGGUUGAAUUUAAGAAUGCUUUGCCUAGCCCUAGAUCCCAAGUAUCUUUUAAAAAUUAUUUUUCUAAAUGCAUUAUUUAUGUUUUACACUUAAGUCUAUAAUCCAUUUUGAGUCCAUGUGUAAGAUUUAGGUUAAGGUCAAGAUUUAUCUGUUUUUGUUGUUUUCUCUAUAAAUGUCAAUUGCUCCAGCACUAUUUGUUUAAAAGCCAAUCUUUCCUCCGCUGAGUUCUUCCUAUAAGUUUGUCAAAAGUCAAUUUGGCAUCUUUGUAUAAGUUUAUUUCUGGAUUCUCUAUUCUGUUUUAUUGAUCACUGCAUCUAUCCCUCUUGAUUAGCUAGAUAAUAAAUCCUACAAUAAGGUAGAAUUCUUCCCACUUUAUUCAUAUUCAAAAUAUUUUAAAGCUAUUCUAGUUUCUUUUUAUUUCCAUAUAUAUUUUAGGAUAAUCUUAUCUAUAUUUACAACAUAUGUUGCUAGGAUUUUGAUAGAAUUUGUUUUAAAUUUGUGUAUCAAUGUAGGGAAGACCUGACAUCUUUACUAUUACGUUGAUCUUCCAAUCAAUGAAUAUGGUAUAUCUCUCAGUUUAUAGCUAUUGUCUUUAAUUUAUUUCAUCAUGGUUUUUAGUUUUCAGCAGAGAAGCUUUAUACAUGUUUUGUUAUACAUGUAUAACAAAAGAAGCCUUAUACACUGACAUUUUAUAUUUUGAACAAUUGUAAAUGGUAUUGUUUAAAAAUUUUGUUGUCUAUGAUAGAAAUAAAAUUGAUUUUUGUAGGUUUAUCUUGUAACCUAUGACUUGCUGAGCUCGCUCAUUAGUUUUUUUAUUGUGAUAAAAUAUACAUGAGAUAAAUUUCAUCAUUAUAAUCAUUAAGUUUAGACAUCAAUUGCAUUAAGUACAUAAAUGCCUUAUGCAACCAUCAUCUCUAUCCAUCUCCAGACCCUUUGCAUCACCCUAAAAUGAAACUCUGUGCCCAUUAAACAAUAACUCCCCAUUCUGCCCUCACCCCAGCCCUUGGUAAUUACCAUCCUACCUUUUAUCUCUAUAAAUUUAACCAUCCCAGGUAACUCAUAUAAGUGGAAUCAUGCAGUGUUUGUCCUUUUGUAACUGGUUUAUUUCACUUAGCAUGAUGUCUUCAAGGUUUGCCUAUGUCAUAGCAUGUGUCAGAAUUUCAUCCCUUUUUAAACUUAAAUAAUAUUCCACUGUAGGCAUAUGCCACAUUUUGUUUAUUUGUUCAUCUGUUGAUGGGCAUUUGGGUUGUUUCCACCUUUUGGCUACUGUGAAUAAUGCUGCUGUGAUCAUGGGUAUGCAACUGUCUCCUGGAGUCCCUGCUAUCAAUUCUUGUGGGUAUAUACCCAGAAGUGGAAUUGUUGCAACAUAUAGUAAUUCUAUGUUUAAUUUUUUGAGGACCUGCCAUAAUGUUUUCCACAGUAGCUACAUUGUCUUAUAUUCCCAUUAAGAGUUCCAAUUUCCUCACAUCUUCACCAAUACUUAUUGUUUUCUGUUUUUUUAAAUAAUAGCCAUCAUAAUAAAAGUAACAUGGUAUCUCAUUGUGGUUUUAACUGCAUUUCCCUUUUUACUGGAUUGUUUGUAAUAUUGCUGUAAUUGAGUUGUAGGAGUUUUUAAAUAUGUUCUGAAUAAUUAAUUUCUUAUCAGAUAUGUCAUUUGCAAAUAUUUUCUGCCAUUCUCUGGGUUGUCAUUUCACUCUCUUGAUAGUGUCCUUUGAUGCACAGAAGUUUUGAAAUUUGAUAAAGUUUAAUUUGCGUAUGUAUUUAUUUUGUUGCUUAUGCUUUUGGUGUCAUAUCCAAGAAAUUAUUGCCAAAUUCAGUGUCAUGAAGAUUUUCCCCUGUGUUUUCCUCUAAGAGUAUUAUAGUUUUAACUCUUGCACUUAGAUUGAUCCGCUUUGAGUUAAUUUUAGUAUAUGGGGUAAGACAAGGGCUCAAAUUUGUUCUUUUGUUUGAAGAUUCUAGGUCAUUUGUGAUCUUUAGGAUUUUCUAUGUAGACAUUAAUGUCAUCUUCAAAUAUGAACAGUUUAUUUCUUCCUUUUGUAUAUGUAUGAAUUUACUUUCCUUUUCUUGCCUUAUUGCACUGGCUAGAGUUUUCAGUACUAUGAUGAAUAAAAUCAGUGAGAGCAGACACCCUUGCUUUGUUUCUAAUCUUAGGAGGAAAGCUUUCAGUCUUUCAUCAUUAGGUAUACUGUUAGUUGUAGGCUUAUUAUAGAUGCUCUUUAUCAGGUUGAGGCAGUUUCCUCCUUGGUUAAGACUUUCUAUUUUUCAUUUUCAGUUAUGACCAGGCAUGUUCAUAACUGCUCAUCAAAACUUUGAAUUAGUGGCUGCUUUAACAUCCUUCUCAGACAAUUCUAACAUCUGUUUUGUUGGUGGUGGCAUCUAUCAAUUGUCUUUUUCAUUCUGUUUGAGAUCUUCCUUGCGUUUGGUAUGAUUUUUUUAAAUAUUAUGUCAUGAAACUGCAUCUUAUUUAAAUCUUCUGUUUUAGUUGGCUAUGUCUGACAUCACUUCCCCAGGGGAAGGUGUUGUUACUGCUAGUGGAGGGUGAGAAUUAUGGCUCUCCACUGACAUUGUGGUGGGAUUGGUCCCAUUACCACUGGGCAGGGUUGAAAGUCCUGACUUUCUGCUAGGCCUUCUCUGACUUCAUCGCAGCAGGAGGAAAAGAUGCCUCUGGAGUUGAAGUCAGGUUGCACUGACACUGUGUGUGUAUGGAGGUAGGCUGGGGUGAAAGUGGAGACUCAUUACCACAUGGUGAGUAGUUUCCAGCUCUCUAUUUGGCCUUCUCUGAUACCACCCAGACAGGGACAUUGGGGAUACCUCAUUACAGCCUAGUGAGGGUCAAACUCUAGGCUCCCCACUCAGUCUUUGCUAUCAUGGACACUGUAGGACCAUAGUUUUUUCUGUGCUGUUUGCUUGAUGUGUCUUCCUUGGACCCUGAGUUCCAUAGCUGGUCUGCAUUCCUCUCUCCACCUUUAAGACGUCUUCUUAUGUUUAUUUCAUAUUUAACAUCCAGGGUGGUAAUUAGAGGGAAGAAUAGAGGGAAAAGUACAGUUGCACUUUGUUGUUCAAAGAGCAGUUUUGAACUGCACAGACCCAUUUCUCUGAGCACACCCAGGGAUGAUUGUACUUGUAUAAAAUUUUUUUCCUGGAUGCAGAAUUCUCAAUUGACUGUGAAAGUUCAUAACAAAGAAAACAGUGGGGAAGACAAAUCUGGAAAUGAGGAAAAUAAAAAUUAAAUAGUGAGACCACCCAUGGAGCUUGUGGCAAAGCCUGAAUUGAAUCCGCUGUAUCUUAAGAUUGUGCCUCAUUCUAAAUUUAAGUCACCCUUCUCAUUAUGAAAGUGUCACAACUUCUCAGUAGGUGAGGAGACAGUCUAAAUUUGAGAAAAGAAAGUUACAACAAAGGUUUUGAGCAAGCUGCUAAGUGGAUUUAUUCAUGUUUGAGAAAUCAAAUAUAUGGUUAAUGAGCUCUUUAACUAGAAGCCAACACUAGGGAGGAGUAGACAGAAGUCACGGGGAGGGAGCCCCCGGACAUUUCAAAAGACUUUGCCCUGCAACAUCUCCUCCACAUUUAAGCUUUUAGGUUAUUGUAGCCACAUCACAAGCAUGUUACCUACCCAGAUAUUGUCUGCGCAUCAUUCCCAAAAGCUUCCCUGGGUCUUCAUAAUAUUAAUGAGAUUCUCCCCCAGGUUAGACCCCUUUGGCUUGAGUCAGAAACAGAAUUAAUCCGGGGGACAAUCCAGCAGCACCCAUCUCUGGGUUGCAGAAAUAUCUGAGGUGACCAGGCAGUGUUUGGAGUCCCCUCAGUUAGCUAACAAAGUGAGUUCACAGCUUCCAAGACCCCAGGCUUUCCAGGCUAAUAAAGAGCUGAGGUUAUAGGCUCUCCUUAUCAAACGCUCUUUGGCAGCUGCCAUAACCAUUCCAAGUCUAGUCCUAGAAUAGAAAUGACGCGGUUUCAGGAGCUGACAGAUGGAACUUUAAGCCUUCCUUCCUGCCACAUCUGAAGUUCUUUUUUAAAAAAAUAGAAAACCAUGACAAUAAACACUCCUUGAAUGCCCUGUGGAAAAGUGUACUCCUCAGAAUUCACUAAAGUGGGGUGAAGCAGUGGGUUGUGGUGCUGAGAAAACAUCUCUUCCCCUCGGCAGUAUAUUGGAAUCUCAUAGAAACUUCUGUGGCUGGGAAGCAAACAUGCUCUCUGCCCCAUUGCUCUUAUUCAUCUUUAGACCUGAUAAUACAGUUUGAACUUCAAGUUGCACUUUAAAUGGCAUGCAUUUUUA
RNAcentral lists this long non-coding RNA (5947 nucleotides) under Homo sapiens (human). Its description in RNAcentral is "HSALNT0024037". Lineage: Eukaryota; Metazoa; Chordata; Mammalia; Primates; Hominidae. The record is from RNAcentral.